CUGGUUGAUCCUGCCGGACCUGACUGCUAUCGGAUUGGUACUAAGCCAUGUGAGUCGUUGUAGCAAUACAAGGCAUACGGCUCAGUAACACGUAGUCAAUCUAACCUAUGGACGGGGAUAACCUCGGGAAACUGAGGAUAAACCCCGAUAGAUCAUAAUGCCUGGAACGGUUUAUGGUCCAAAUGAUUCGUCGCCGUAGGGUGGGACUGCGGCCUAUCAGCUUGUUGGUGAGGUAAUGGCCCACCAAGGCUAUUACAGGUACGGGCUCUGAGAGGAGAAGCCCGGAGAUGGGUACUGAGACACGGACCCAGGCCCUAUGGGGCGCAGCAGGCGAGAAACCUUUGCAAUGUGCGCAAGCACGACAAGGUUAAUCCGAGUGUUUCCUGUUAAAGGAAUCUUUUGUUAGUUCUAAAACCACUGAUGAAUAAGGGGUGGGCAAGUUCUGGUGUCAGCCGCCGCGGUAAAACCAGCACCUCAAGUGGUCAGGAUGAUUAUUGGGCCUAAAGCAUCCGUAGCCUGUUCUGUAAGUUUCCGGUUAAAUCCAUUAGCUCAACUAAUGGGCUGCCGAAAAUACUGCAGAACUAGGGAGUGGGAGAGGUAGACGGUACUCGGUAGGAAGGGGUAAAAUCCUUUGAUCUAUUGAUGACCACCUGUGGCGAAGGCGGUCUACCAGAACACGUUCGACGGUGAGGGAUGAAAGCUGGGGGAGCAAACCGGAUUAGAUACCCGGGUAGUCCCAGCUGUAAACGAUGCAGACUCGGUGAUGCGCUGGCUUGUGGCCAGUGCAGUGCCGCAGGGAAGCCGUUAAGUUUGCCGCCUGGGAAGUACGUACGCAAGUAUGAAACUUAAAGGAAUUGGCGGGGGAGCACCACAAGGGGUGAAGCCUGCGGUUCAAUUGGAGUCAACGCCGG
RNAcentral lists this ribosomal RNA (911 nucleotides) under uncultured archaeon 19b-52. RNAcentral's name for it is "bacterial SSU rRNA". It matches the Rfam family "Archaeal small subunit ribosomal RNA", at positions 4 to 921 of the family's 1478-position model. The record is from RNAcentral.